RNAcentral lists this transfer RNA (77 nucleotides) under Candidatus Moranbacteria bacterium CG_4_9_14_3_um_filter_40_7. Its description in RNAcentral is "tRNA-Val". It matches the Rfam family "tRNA". From Rfam's summary of the family: Transfer RNA (tRNA) molecules are approximately 80 nucleotides in length. Their secondary structure includes four short double-helical elements and three loops (D, anti-codon, and T loops). Lineage: Bacteria; Candidatus Moraniibacteriota. RNAcentral also lists the same sequence under 3 other names. The record is from RNAcentral.
GGGCUUGUAGCUCAGUUGGUUAGAGCGUCUGCUCGACACGCAGAAGGUCAGCCGUUCGAUUCGGCUCAAGCCCACCA